RNAcentral lists this ribosomal RNA (253 nucleotides) under uncultured bacterium. RNAcentral describes it as "partial 16S ribosomal RNA". It matches the Rfam family "Bacterial small subunit ribosomal RNA", at positions 524 to 776 of the family's 1533-position model. The record is from RNAcentral.
UACGGGGGGGGCAAGCGCUGUUCGGAAUUACUGGGCGUAAAGGGUCUGUAGGUGGCCAACUAAGUCAGACGUGAAAUCCCUCAGCUUAACUGGGGAACUGCGUCUGAUACUGGAUGGCUUGAGUGCAGGAGAGGAACGCGGAAUUCCAGGUGUAGCGGUGAAAUGCGUAGAGAUGUGGAGGAACACCGAUGGCGAAGGCAGCCCCCUGGGUCAACACUGACGCUCAUGCACGAAAGCGUGGGGAGCAAACAGG